UACAGAGGUGGCAAGCGUUGUUCGGAAUUACUGGGCGUAAAGGGCGAGUAGGUGGCCAUCUAAGUCAGACGUGAAAUCCCCCGGCUUAACCUGGGAACUGCGUCUGAUACUGGACGGCUGGAGUAUGGGAGAGGGAUGUAGAAUUCCAGGUGUAGCGGUGAAAUGCGCAGAUAUCAGGAGGAACACCGGUGGCGAAGGCGGUUCUCUGGGCAUUACCUGACGCUGAGGGGCGAAAGUGUGGGGAGCGAACAGG
RNAcentral lists this ribosomal RNA (253 nucleotides) under uncultured bacterium. Its description in RNAcentral is "partial 16S ribosomal RNA". It matches the Rfam family "Bacterial small subunit ribosomal RNA", at positions 524 to 776 of the family's 1533-position model. The record is from RNAcentral.